GACAAACGCUGGCGGUAUGCCUAACACAUGCAAGUCGAACGGACAGACCAGGGAAGCUUUUCGGAGUGGAACUGGAAAGUUAGUGGCGGAUGGGUGAGUAACGCGUGGACAACCUACCUUGUAAAGGGGAAUAACCUCGAGAAAUCGAAGCUAAUACCCCAUAAUAACCUUGCUUCGCAUGAAGUAAGGAGGAAAGGCGGCCUUAGCGCUGUCGAUACAAGAUGGGUCCGCGUCUGAUUAGCUAGUUGGUGAGGUAAAGGCUCACCAAGGCGACGAUCAGUAGCCGGCCUGAGAGGGUGAACGGCCACAUUGGGACUGAGACACGGCCCAAACUCCUACGGGAGGCAGCAGUGGGGAAUCUUCCGCAAUGGGCGAAAGCCUGACGGAGCAAUGCCGCGUGAGUGAAGAAGGCCUUCGGGUUGUAAAACUCUGUCCUUAUCGAAGAGAGAGUGUUGUAGUAACUGACAAUACUAGGACGGUAGAUGAGGAGGAAGCCCCGGCUAACUAUGUG
Molecule: ribosomal RNA, 511 nt
Filed under: uncultured bacterium
Lineage: Bacteria
Description: partial 16S ribosomal RNA
Rfam family: Bacterial small subunit ribosomal RNA
Source: RNAcentral